This 452-nucleotide ribosomal RNA is filed under the name uncultured bacterium. Its description in RNAcentral is "bacterial SSU rRNA". It matches the Rfam family "Bacterial small subunit ribosomal RNA", at positions 340 to 786 of the family's 1533-position model. The record is from RNAcentral.
UACGGAAGGCAGCAGUGGGGAAUAUUGCACAAUGGGCGCAAGCCUGAUGCAGCCAUGCCGCGUGUAUGAAAAAGGCCUUCGGGUUGUAAAGUACUUUCAGUCGUGAGGAAGGUGUUAAGGUUAAUAACCUUAGCAAUUGACGUUAGCGACAGAAGAAGCACCGGCUAACUCCGUGCCAGCAGCCGCGGUAAUACGGGGGUGCGAGCGUUAAUCGGAAUUACUGGGCGUAAAGGGCACGCAGGCGGUUAAUUAAGUUGGAUGUGAAAUCCCCGGGCUUAACCUGGGAAUGGCAUUCAAGACUGGUUAGCUAGAGUCUUGUAGAGGGGGUAGAAUUCCAUGUGUAGCGGUGAAAUGCGUAGAGAUGUGGAGGAAUACCGGUGGCGAAGGCGGCCCCUGGACAAAGACUGACGCUCAUGUGCGAAAGCGUGGGGAGCAAACAGGGAUUAGAUACC